RNAcentral lists this transfer RNA (65 nucleotides) under Ogadenus brumpti. RNAcentral's name for it is "Argas brumpti tRNA-Leu". The record is from RNAcentral. Lineage: Eukaryota; Metazoa; Arthropoda; Arachnida; Ixodida; Argasidae.
UUUUAGCUUGGCAGAUUAAUUGUAUCAGAUUUAGAAUUUGAGAAUGAAUUUAUUUCAGCUAAAAA